RNAcentral lists this non-coding RNA (1596 nucleotides) under Saccharomyces paradoxus. RNAcentral's name for it is "small subunit ribosomal RNA". It matches the Rfam family "Bacterial small subunit ribosomal RNA". Lineage: Eukaryota; Fungi; Ascomycota; Saccharomycetes; Saccharomycetales; Saccharomycetaceae. The record is from RNAcentral.
AUAAAUAAGAAUAUGAUGUUGGUUCAGAUUAAGCGCUAAAUAAGGACAUGACACAUGCGAAUCAUACGUUUAUUAUUGAUAAGAUAAUAAAUAUGUGGUGUAAACGUGAGUAAUUUUAUUAGGAAUAAAUGAACUAUAGAAUAAGUUAAAUACUUAAUAAAUUUUAUAUAAAAAUAAUAAUUAUAUAAUAAUAAAGGAUAUAUAUAUAUAUAUUUAUCUAUAGUCAAGCCAAUAAUGGUUUAGGUAGUAGGUUUAUUAAGAGUUAAACCUAGCCAACGAUCCAUAAUCGUUAAUGAAAGUUAGAACGAUCACGUUGACUCUGAAAUAUAGUCAAUAUCUAUAAGAUACAGCAGUGAGGAAUAUUGGACAAUGAUCGAAAGAUUGAUCCAGUUACUUAUUAGGAUGAUAUAUAAAAAUUUUAUCUAUAAAAAUAUAUAAAUAAUAUAUAUAUAUAUAAAUUGAUUAAAAAUAAAAUCCAUAAAUAAUUAAAAUAAUGAUAUUAAUUACCAUAUAAUAAAAAGUAUGGAUAUAUAAUAAUUAUAAUAUUAAUUUAUUAUAAUAAAUUAUAUAUUUUAAUAGUCCUGACUAAUAUUUGUGCCAGCAGUCGCGGUAACACAAAGAGGGCGAGCGUUAAUCAUAAUGGUUUAAAGGAUCCGUAGAAUGAAUUAUAUAAUUUAGAGUUAAUAAAUUUAAUUAAAGAAUUAUAAUAGUAAAGAUGAAAUAAUAAUAAUAAUUAUAAGACUAAUAUAUGUGAAAAUAUUAAUUAAAUAUUAACUGACAUUGAGGGAUUAAAACUAGAGUAGCGAAACGGAUUCGAUACCCGUGUAGUUCUAGUAGUAAACUAUGAAUACAAUUAUUUAUAAUAAAUAUAUAUAUAUAUAAAUAAUAAAUGAAAAUGAAAGUAUUCCACCUGAAGAGUACGUUAGCAAUAAUGAAACUCAAAACAAUAGACGGUUACAGACUUAAGCAGUGGAGCAUGUUAUUUAAUUCGAUAAUCCACGACUAACCUUACCAUAUUUUGAAUAUUAUAAUAAUUAUUAUAAAUUAUUAUAUUACAGGCGUUACAUUGUUGUCUUUAGUUCGUGCUGCAAAGUUUUAGAUUAAGUUCAUAAACGAACAAAACUCCAUAUAUAUAAUCUUAAUUAUAUAUAAUUUUAUAUUAUUUAUUAAUAUAAAGAAAGGAAUUAAGACAAAUCAUAAUGAUCCUUAUAAUAUGGGUAAUAGACGUGCUAUAAUAAAAUGAUAAUAAAAUUAUAUAAAAUAUAUAAAAAAAUAUAUUUAAUUAAUAAUAUAAAACAUUUUAACUUUUAAUAUAUUUUUAUAUUAUAUAUUAAUAUGAAUUAUAAUCUGAAAUUCGAUUAUAUGAAAAAAGAAUUGCUAGUAAUACGUAAAUUAGUAUGUUACGGUGAAUAUUCUAACUGUUUCGCACUAAUCACUCAUCACGCGUUGAAACAUAUUAUUAUCUUAUUAUUUAUUAAUAUCUCUUAAUUAUAUUAUAUAAUUAAUUAAUAUUUAUUUAUAUCAGAAAUAAUAUGAAUUAAUGCGAAGUUGAAAUACAGUUACCGUAGGGGAACCUGCGGUGGGCUUAUAAAUAUC